CCCAAUGCUUGACGGAGCACAGUCUCAGUCUGGACACACACACCCUCAAUACAAUCCACCACCACAAGUGCUCCAUCAGUAAUACGCAGAGCAGCUGUGACUUCAGAUGAAAAGUCAACGUGCCCGGGGGAAUCAAUGAGAUUGAUGAGGUACUCAUUUCCGUUCCUCUCUCCCUUGUACCUCUGCAAAGACUCAUCAGUCAUCUCAUAGUACAGAGAGAUACCGGUAGAUUUAAUUGUGAUACCACGCUCUGCCUCAUCUGCGCGAGUAUCAGUCAUCCGAACAUCACCAGCAACUUCUUGUGCAAUGAUACCCGCAGCAGCAACAAGCGAGUCUGUAAGAGUUGACUUCCCUGCAUAUCAAAUUUCAAAAACAUUAUAUGUUUUGAGGAAACACCAUAGGACAUAAACAAAUAAAUGGAUAAAACGCAACUAUACAUAUUAACUGGUGAAAUAUUUCAAAUUAUAACCAAUAGAGAAAAGUUCAAAAUACUGAAAAAAAAUACACUUGACCAAAAUAUUACAACAUUAAAAAUUUUCUUUAACCAGGUUAAUAAAAACACCUUGUAACAAAGACAAGAAUUAUCAAGUGAAAAUAAAAAAGAUCUAUACCGUGAUCAACAUGAGCAAUAACAGACAUAUUGCGAAUGUUGUGCUUGUAGUCCAUAAUCCUACGGAGUUCUUCUGCUGUAAACUUCACCUGCAAUAUCAAGAAUAUCACACCAUUGUGAAUUAAGGAAUCAAUGGAGCAGCUCAGGAAUCACUAUGUAACCAUGUUCAGAUUGAUAGUCAGUGUUUACCAUCUUGACUAGUCUUUAAGAACAACCGGCAAUUAGUUUUUAUAAGAAGCUGAUUAACCGACAAGGAAACACCUGCAAAUUUAAACAACAAAAAAAUGAACUGGAAUUCAACUUGGAAUAUAAACAUUUAAAAUGACUAGAAAAUGACACACCAAUACAUUUCUAUGUUUAAAAAAUGACCAGAAAAAAAAAAUAGCAAUUUGUAUUCCACCAAAAGACUAUUGAAUUCCGGUAAAAGGAAUACAUAAUUUUUACUGUAUCAAGCAAUCUUAAUAAUCAAGACAAGUUAUUCGGUAAACGGUCUUGACAAAAGAAAAGGUAAUCACAAAUCAUUCCUUAUCAAUUAGGAUGAUCCUAUUAAUUUAGGGCCACCAAUAACAACAAAAUAGAAAACAAGUACGCAUAAUAAUUCUCUCUUACAAAUUAGUAUAUUUUAGAACGAAAAUUAUUCUGGAAAAUAUUUUUAUAUUAUUUCUUUGACAUGAAUAGGAAACAAAAUGUUCUGAAAAAAUUACUCAUAAAUUCAAACGAAACCUUAAUUUUCGAAAAUCUUUCCACUAAAAAAAUUGCUCAACGAAACUAUUUUCCAGCAAAACAACAGAGUAUUAGUACGAUCAAAGUAGAAAACAAGAUCUAGCAAAUACAAAACAUCUAGGGUAGUGCUAACCACACACCCACUUUACUUUUCACACACACUCAACUUUCUGCUGUAGGAUAAAAUGAAUUGAAGAAGAUCAAUGGCUAAAAACUAAAAAUGGAUGUGUGAACAAUUUACAAAUACUAGCGAAAUUAUCAUAUAUCACGUAAAAAUUAUCAAAAACGUCAGAAAAUUAUUCCACAGCAAAAAAAAUUUCACGUAAAAAUUUUCCGAUGAACCAACCAGAGCCUGAGAGAGUGAUCUGUACGGAAAACAAGGAUCUAAUACAAACACAUUUCACACAAACAUAUAUACACACACAAUGCAUCCGUAAAACCUGAGCAACGAUCGAAACGAUAAACGAGCAAAGACAUAAUACCAAACCAAAAGCAUGCAUAACAAUAAUAUAUUUCCAACAAUACAAAAUGCAUGCAGAUCACAGAUUUUUCAGAACAACAAAAUGCAUGAUUAACGACGAUAAUCAAGAAAUCACGAGGAUAAUCGGGGGGAUUAAAUCAAAGGAAGCGACUGAUUCGAAUAGCAUAGAAUUAGAGGAACGAACCUGAAGGAUCGGGAGAUGGAGAGCGAGGGAGGGAUGGAGAGAGGAGUGACUCUCCGCAGCCUAGAGCUAGUGGUGCAAAUGGGACUGAGAGAAUGUGUGGAGCCCGGAGGAGGGUGUGAGUGUUAUAUAAGGUUAGGGUUUUCGUUUCUUGGGUUGGGCUCCGCUUUCAUAGUUUAUACUAUUUUCUAGGCCCACCAAAAUCUCCAUCGGCCUUUUUUUAUUCUAAAAUCAUGGGCCUUAGGGCUUUUUAUUUAUUUUUUAUUUUUAACAACAUUAUAUAAUUAUGGAUAAUGAUGGGAAGAUCAAAUUUGAAAAUCAAAUAAAUAGAAAAUUAGCACGUUAAUUAAUAUUUCAAUAAUAAUUCAAUUACAUUUCAUAAUCAUAAAAGUCGACUAAGUGCAAAAAGACGGCCACACAUGACCUUUGCCAAUCGACCUAUUCCACAGUUGUAUGACCUAGGUUAAGAAGGUCAAAGCUUCUUGUUAGACACUCAAAACUCAAAACUUCAAAUUCUUGUUUAUUAAUUAAACAAAAAAUAUUGAGAAAAGUUAUUAGCAUUUUAGUAUGGCAUGUUUUUCUUUGAUUGUAAGUGAGAGAAAAGUGAGAAGUGGAAAUGAAUACAACUACACUGUCGUGCUAAGCAGCCUCCAAUAUUCGUAAGGUAGGCAUAAACUUCUUCGUCUAAUAAACGUUUUCUAAAUAUGAGCCUAGGGUUUAUUUACAAGAUAUACAUAUAUUCUAACCAAUUCACUUAACCCAACCCACACUUGCAAAGAUAGCCUAGAUUUAAAAAGCCUUAGCUCCCCCAAACACUUCUACUUUGGACACCAAACCCCAACUCUCUUUUUUUCAUUUUUGUAGCCAAAACUAUAGUAUCUACAUGUAACAACAUUGAUAUCAAGUCGAUGAAUUGUAUAGCAUGAAUUUUAAAGGGUGUUUGUUUGCCCUCACUAAGCUUCACUAGAUUGGAUUGGCUUAGCUGGAAUUUCUAAUUCGUGUUUGGUUGGAACAAGGAUUAAGUAUAAUGGGACUAAGUCGGAUUCGUGCCAACUAAGUCCUUCACUCCCAGUUCUUAGCUAGGUUGCCCGAAACAUAUGGGAUUGCUAAUCCCGUCUCUAAAGCUGUGUACAAAGUCUGCACGCUGCAUCAUCUACACGCUGCAAGUCAUCUGCAAUCAUGCUUCUUUGCAACUCUGUUUGGCCACCUAUGCCCAGAUCUGAAACCCACCACACCCACUGCCUAAUUCUCAACAUCCAACUACCAAAAUUCGAAAAGAAAAAAAGUCAAUUCGAUAACAACAACAAACUCAAUAGAAAAAUUCUUCAUUUUUCCUAGAAAAUUAAGAGAAUUUUUGAGACAAUCAAAGGAGUGGCGAGAAAUAGAGUGGUCGUGAAAUCCAUGACGCAGCAGAGGGGUGCCUCUGCACGAUUUCAAUUCUCCGUGGGAUAUGAAGUUGGGAAACCAGAAUCUGUGGUGCCAGAAAUAGUUUAGAGGAAUCACAACAGCAAAGAAAAGGAAAGGGAAAAAAAGAGAACAAAACGGGGGUGAUGAAUGACGUUGAGUGAGGAGAGAGUGGAAAGGAAAAGAAAAAGACGAAGAGAGUGGAAAGGAAAAAUAAGAAAAAAAUGUGGAAAGAAAAAAAUGUGAAGAAAAAAAUGACGAAAUUAUUUGAUUUUCCAAAAUAAUGUAGUCCGUAACUUAGUCCGAUAUUGCAUCAACCGCUCCAUUAUUCUUAUCCUACUUAGUCCAUGCCUAGCCAAUCUAACUUAAUCUUUAAAGCUAAUCUAGUCCGAAAUAAUCCAAUACAACAAACGCACCCAAUCCCAUAUUGAUGCAGGCCAACCAAAUUCAUAAACUAGCACAAUUAAGAAUACAAAGCCGCUGGUUCCACAACUUACAAAACCUGAAUCAAACACGAGCUAGAGCGGUUUUCGGCACCUGUGCAGCCACUCGUAUUGGCGGCGCGCGAGCCGAGCAUUGCAACCACCACCUUCGAGGCGUUUUCCCAUCUCUAAUGAAAUAGUAGCAGAAGAAGCUGUUGCAGGUCUUCAAGUUAGAAAGAACAAACAUCAAUCAAAUACAUGAAACAAAGUAGACAAAAGUAUAGUAAAUUCAAAAAGCGUGUAGCAACAAUGGCAGAAAUUGUUCCACAAGCAACAAGGUAAAAGCAGAACAUUAUAAAGGUCUCUGUUCUGAGCACGCACAAAACAUUUAACUACUGGCACCCAGAUGCUGACUACAGCAACAAUGUUAACAACAUUAAACAAAAACGAUUAAACUGGAAACCAAAAAAUUAACGCAGUGCAUCGAAAACAAAUUAUUACUCAAAGCUUGUCCUCAAACUCGGAUAGUGGGGUCAUCUGCUCCUUCAAUCCCUUCCUCUUACGGAUGUCGGUAACAAGUGCUGCAGCCUGGGAUCCAGCUUCCAAUGGAUCAGACGACAUCAUCUCCCAAUGAUCAAACACACAUUGUGGGAAAGCCUGUCCAGAAGUUGCAGCCCUCAGUUGACCAGAGAAUCCAAAGGACUCGACAACGGGGAGGUAUGCCUUGAUGUUGUAAAGUGGAGUUCCCGGCCUCUGCAUCUCCUCAAACACGUGUCCACGUUUCUGAUUCAGAACACUGUAUAUACCUCCAAGAGCCCCCUCUGGAGCUUGAAUUUCAACAAGAUACACUGGUUCGAGAAGCCUUGGCUUGGCUGUGAGCUGAGAGGCAUAGAUGACCCUCCGAGCAGUUGGAAUGACCUGACCUCCCCCUCUGUGGAUGGCAUCAGCGUGAAGAACCACAUCACAAACUUCAAAGCAAAUACCUCUCAUGUUUUCUUCUGCCAAUGCACCUUCCUUUGAGGCCCACUGGAACCCAGCAACAACUGAAUCCUUGAUUUCAUUAAGGUACUGGACUCCCUUACACAUGUCGACCACCAUGUUAGGACCAGUGGUCUCGGGACCAAAACACCAGAUUUUCUUAGCAAGAUCCUUGUCCCAACCAAACUCCUCAGCCAAGAUCUUGGAACGAAUCUUGGGAUCAUCUCUUGGGCCAAUGCGACCUUCAUCAAUAGCCUCAGGAAGCCCUUCCUCAAGGGGCCUUGCUUCCAUGUACAGACGGUUAUGCUUGUUUGGAGACUUGCUCAUCACUGUACGGCAGGACUUAUCAAGGACAGUCUCACGGAAGGACACAACAGGGUCAGACUUUAUAAUCUCAGCACCACCCAUAAAAUCAUCUUGCAGAUCCUUCAAACAGAUCUCAAGAUGCAGUUCACCAGCACCAGCAAUAAUGUGCUCUCCCGACUCCUCAAUGGAGCAGACAACCAUAGGAUCAGACUUGGCCAAACGCUUGAGACCUUCAACAAGUUUGGGAAGGUCAGAUGCAACCUUGCACUGGACAGCAACACGCACGACGGGUGAAACUGAGAACUUCAUAGCACGAAUAGGGUGAGCAUCCACUUCCUUCUCAUUUGUUAAAGUAGCAUUCUUGGUGAUAAACUGAUCCAAACCGACCAAGGCAACAGUGUUACCGCAAGGAACAUCCUCAACAGUUUCUUGUCUCUUUCCCAUCCAAAUAACAGUCCUCUGUACAUUCUUGACAUACAAAUCCUUCUUCUCUCCAGGAACAAAAUUUGGACCCAUGAUUCUAACCUUCAAACCUGUCUGAACUUUACCAGCAAAGACACGGCCAAAGGCAAAGAAUCUACCCUUAUCAGAAGCGGGAAUCAUCUUAGACACAUAGAGCAUAAGAGGUCCUUCGGGGUCACAGUUCCUGAUGGCAUUAGCAUAUUGAUCAUCAAGGGGACCCUCAUACAAAUUCUCAACACGGUACCUUUGAGCCGUGGAAGGAGAUGGAAGGUGAAAGAUCAUCAUUUCCAAUAGAGCAGUGCUAGCUGGUAGCCAGGUCUGCAUAACACGCUUCAUCAAUGCCUUCCCCAUCAGGUCCUUCUCAUCACUCUUCAUGGUGACACCAAGCUUUGUCAACAUGGGCCACAACUUAUCCUUCUGAUCAUUCAUGCACGUGUUGAUGAUCUGCUUGAUGGGCUCAUAACAGAACUGAACGAAACCACGCUUGCAGGUUGCAGUUCCGGUGUUCUUGCUGGUCCAUUUCUUCGUAGCUGGGUCAAAAUAGUUCUCACCCCAGAGCCUUUCCAUCAUCUUUGACUCAUCAACUCCAAACUUGGAAGCAUACAUCUUAGCGAAGUUGGUCAGAGUGAAAGCCCAACCGUGCAAACCAGCUGAGAAGGCGACUGUUCCUUUCUCUGGGUAGACCUGAACAUCACCAAGAAGUGGAUCUUCAUAUGUAGCCAUAAUGACAUUGGCAUUCUCAAUAACCCUUUGGAAUGUCUGGUAAGCCUCCUCUCCAUCAACCUGGAGCUCGAGGAAGCACCUGUCCAUCUUGUUAACGGUCAAAACAGGCCUGAUCCUCUCUCCCAAGGCUUGACGGAGCACAGUCUCAGUCUGGACACACACACCCUCAAUACAAUCCACCACCACAAGUGCACCAUCAGUAAUACGCAGAGCAGCUGUGACCUCAGAUGAAAAGUCAACGUGCCCAGGGGAAUCAAUGAGAUUGAUGAGGUACUCAUUUCCGUUUCUCUCUCCCUUGAACCUCUGCAAAGACUCAUCAGUCAUCUCAUAGUACAGAGAGAUACCGGUAGAUUUAAUUGUGAUACCACGCUCAGCUUCAUCGGCACGGGUAUCCGUCAUACGGACAUCACCGGCGACUUCUUGUGCAAUGAUACCAGCAGCAGCAACAAGAGAGUCUGU
Molecule: long non-coding RNA, 6749 nt
Filed under: Malus domestica (apple)
Lineage: Eukaryota; Viridiplantae; Streptophyta; Magnoliopsida; Rosales; Rosaceae
Description: long non-coding RNA (MDOM_LNC009538)
Source: RNAcentral